Molecule: ribosomal RNA, 305 nt
Filed under: uncultured bacterium
Lineage: Bacteria
Description: bacterial SSU rRNA
Rfam family: Bacterial small subunit ribosomal RNA
Source: RNAcentral
GUGCCUACGGGACGCAGCAGUGAGGAAUAUUGGUCAAUGGGCGCGAGCCUGAACUAGCCAAGUCGCGUGAGGGAAGACGGUCCUAUGGAUUGUAAACCUCUUUUGUCGGGGAGCAAAAGACGCCACGCGUGGCGUUCCGAGAGUACCCGAAGAAAAAGCAUCGGCUAACUCCGUGCCGGCAGCCGCGGUAAUACGGAGGAUGCGAGCGUUAUCCGGAUUUAUUGGGCUUAAAGGGUGCGCAGGCGGAAGAUCACGUCAGCGGUAAAAUUGAGAGGCUCCACCUCUUCGAGCCGUUGAAACUGGUU